RNAcentral lists this ribosomal RNA (254 nucleotides) under uncultured bacterium. RNAcentral describes it as "partial 16S ribosomal RNA". It matches the Rfam family "Bacterial small subunit ribosomal RNA", at positions 524 to 776 of the family's 1533-position model. The record is from RNAcentral.
GACGGAGGAUCCAAGCGUUAUCCGGAAUUACUGGGCGUAAAGAGUUGCGUUGGUGGCAUAGUAAGUAGAUAGUGAAAGCGUGUGGCUCAACCAUACUCACAUUAUCUAAACUGCUAAGCUAGAGGACGAGAGAGGUACCUGGAAUUCCCUGUGUAGGAGUGAAAUCCGUAGAUAUAGGGAGGAACACCGAUGGCGUAGGCAGGGUACUGGCUCGUUCCUGACACUAAGGCACGAAAGCGUGGGUAGCAAACGGG